UACGUAGGGUGCGAGCGUUGUCCGGAAUUAUUGGGCGUAAAGAGCUUGUAGGCGGUUUGUCGCGUCUGCCGUGAAAAUCCGGGGCUCAACCCCGGACUUGCGGUGGGUACGGGCAGACUAGAGUGUGGUAGGGGAGACUGGAAUUCCUGGUGUAGCGGUGAAAUGCGCAGAUAUCAGGAGGAACACCUAUUGCGAAGGCAGCUCGCUGGGACGUUACUGACGCUGAGACGCGAAAGCGUGGGGAGCAAACAGG
Molecule: ribosomal RNA, 253 nt
Filed under: uncultured bacterium
Lineage: Bacteria
Description: partial 16S ribosomal RNA
Rfam family: Bacterial small subunit ribosomal RNA
Source: RNAcentral